Molecule: ribosomal RNA, 444 nt
Filed under: uncultured bacterium
Lineage: Bacteria
Description: SSU rRNA
Rfam family: Bacterial small subunit ribosomal RNA
Source: RNAcentral
AGAGCGAACGCUGGCGGCAGGCCUAACACAUGCAAGUCGAACGCACCUUCGGGUGAGUGGCGGACGGGUGAGUAACACGUGGGAACGUACCUUUUGGUUCGGAAUAACGCAGAGAAAUUUGCGCUAAUACCGAAUGAGCUCGAAAGAGGAAAGAUUUAUCGCCGAAAGAGCGGCCCGCGUUAGAUUAGCUAGUUGGUGGGGUAAAGGCCCACCAAGGCUACGAUCUAUAGCUGGUCUGAGAGGAUGAUCAGCCACAUUGGGACUGAGACACGGCCCAAACUCCUACGGGAGGCAGCAGUGGGGAAUCUUGCGCAAUGGGCGAAAGCCUGACGCAGCCAUGCCGCGUGAAUGAUGAAGGUCUUAGGAUUGUAAAAUUCUUUCAGUAGGGACGAUAAUGACGGUACCUACAGAAGAAGCCCCGGCUAACUUCGCGCCAGCAGCCGC